UGGGGUGCAGUUCAGUGAUAGAGCACUUGUCUAGCAUGCAGAGGCCCUAGGUUCAAUCCCCAGCACCACAA
This 71-nucleotide transfer RNA is filed under the name Heterocephalus glaber (naked mole-rat). It matches the Rfam family "tRNA". Rfam says of the family: Transfer RNA (tRNA) molecules are approximately 80 nucleotides in length. Their secondary structure includes four short double-helical elements and three loops (D, anti-codon, and T loops). The record is from Rfam by way of RNAcentral. Lineage: Eukaryota; Metazoa; Chordata; Mammalia; Rodentia; Bathyergidae.